Molecule: long non-coding RNA, 875 nt
Organism: Malus domestica (apple)
Lineage: Eukaryota; Viridiplantae; Streptophyta; Magnoliopsida; Rosales; Rosaceae
Source: RefSeq, a predicted model, not a curated record
AUAAAGUUAUCUGAUUGGUUUGAUUUGUGUUGUGUACAUUUACUUCUUGGGUAUAUUUGUGUUUUUGGACUUAUUUGUUUCUGUAUCGGUUGUUGACAGAAUGGAUAGGGUGCCAAAAAGAGAGGUGGCAUUAGGAAUAAUGGCUUUUUUGAGAGAAUUAGAGUUUGAUCUCUUCAUUUGGGUUGUGCAUAUUUCGUUUGAUCUCUUACUUUGGGUUGUGCAGAUUUCAUUUGAAUUAAUUUGGGUUGUGAGGAAGUGAAUAAUUAUUUGAAUUAAUUAAUUUCUCUUGGGUUGUGCAUAUUUCCUUUGAACUAAUUUGGGUUGUGUUUGAGCAUUGUACAUGCAUGAACGUGGGUAAAGAGUAUGAGGAUAAAGGGAAGAGAAAAUGUUGUGAUCAUCCACCUCAAACGAUUUGUUGAGAACUUGGAAUCAGCUUUUCACAUAACAUGGAUGAUGAAUAUAAGAAACUCAUACACAGAAUUACUCCACCAAGAUUUAUGCUACCUGGCAAUCAACGACUAAUAUUACUUUCAAGAAGGCAAGACCAACAUAUGGCAUGUCACAUCGGUAUAUUUUUCACAAACAGAUGAAUUUCACAAGUCGAAUUACCACCUCAAUAAUAGGAAAAAAAUACAUUUGAUCUCCGGUUAUAAGUUGUAUUCACAACUGUCCAAGAGAGUACAACAAAAGGUCAAUUUUUCCAUUGGAAGCACCUCAAGUUAGGAACAAGUCUGUUAUCCAAUUACAUUCAUGGCAUAUAACACUUGAAAGGUCAAUUUUCCAUUGGAAGCACCUCAAGCUAGGAACAAGUCUGUUAUCCAAUUACAUUCAUGGCAUAUAACACUUGAAAAAGCUAAUGAUGUAUUUCAACAUUG